Rhinolophus ferrumequinum (greater horseshoe bat) is the source of this 576-nucleotide long non-coding RNA. RefSeq lists it as uncharacterized. NCBI's taxonomy places the organism in Eukaryota, Metazoa, Chordata, Mammalia, Chiroptera, Rhinolophidae. The record is from RefSeq and is a predicted model, not a curated record. The transcript has 3 exons.
AAUUUCAAAGUUUUGUGAUCAGAGAAUAUGCUUGAUUAUCAUGGCAAUAAUGGAAGGAACUCUGUUAAGAAGAGGAAGGUGCAAUAAUCUGCAACAACAAGGAGGGAUUUUGUUCCUAGAGGAUCUACUACUUGCUACAUGAGCUGGGUUCUACAGCUGGAGAAAUUUCUGCAGAGAUUUAUUCUUUGUUGUUGUGCUUUCACUGACAUGUCCCUUGACUUCAGACUCCUUUUCUCUGGGAAAGUAGUCCAUCCUUUCCACAGUUUCACUUUCCAUGGUUUCAGUUACCCACAGUCAAUCUUGGUCCAAAAAUAUUAAAUGAAAAAUUCCAGAAAUAAACAAUUCAUAAGUUUUAAGUUGGGUGCCAUUCUGAGCAGCAUGAUGUAAUCUUGUGCCAUCCUGCCUGGAACAUGAAUCAUCCCUUUAUGCAGCAUAUCCAUACUGCAUAUGUUUCUUGUCACUUAGUAGCAGUCUAGGUUGUCAGAUCGACUGCUGUGGUACCACAGUGCUUGUGUUCAAGAAAAUAUUUUAUUGUUAUGACGAUUGUUCUAGUUUAUUAUUAGUUAUUGUUGUUAA